GUCGAUAUUGAGAUGACACUACACGGAAAAAUGUAAUUAUUCCCAAAAUAAUAAAUUGUAGAAAACAUUGCUGCAUUUGGCGUCUAAAAUGGUAUAUGGAUAUCGUCGCCUAGCACACAAUACCGAGAAGCCUAAAAUUAGUCGAGUUUAUGGUUCCAUUGAGCAAGAAGAAACGUUCUAACAAGGUAGCAGGGCUGUAAAUCUGAAAAUCCGGGAAUCGUAAAACCCGGGAAGAACUGAAAAUCAAACCGUGAAGCCAGAACAGUCUAAAAUUGGAGCCUAUUGAAUGGGAGUGUAACGAUAUGGCUCUUUGGCUCUUUUGCAGAUAAGGCUGCUUAAUCUGAUAGUGAAAUAAAAUCCACGUUCGAAUUUAAACUAAGAGAGUUGACGAUGGUGUCCCGAAUC
Long non-coding RNA from Sitophilus oryzae (rice weevil), 405 nucleotides. RefSeq lists it as uncharacterized. Lineage: Eukaryota; Metazoa; Arthropoda; Insecta; Coleoptera; Curculionidae. The transcript has 3 exons. The record is from RefSeq and is a predicted model, not a curated record.